This 512-nucleotide ribosomal RNA is filed under the name uncultured bacterium. Its description in RNAcentral is "partial 16S ribosomal RNA". It matches the Rfam family "Bacterial small subunit ribosomal RNA", at positions 28 to 507 of the family's 1533-position model. The record is from RNAcentral.
GAUGAACGCUGGCGGCGUGCCUAAUACAUGCAAGUCGAACGAAACUUCUUUAUCACCGAGUGCUUGCACUCACCGAUAAAGAGUUGAGUGGCGAACGGGUGAGUAACACGUGGGCAACCUGCCCAAAAGAGGGGAAUAACACUUGGAAACAGGUGCUAAUACCGCAUAACCAUAGUUACCGCAUGGUAACUAUGUAAAAGGUGGCUAUACUACCGCUUUUGGAUGGGCCCGCGGCGCAUUAGCUAGUUGGUAGGGUAAAGGCUUACCAAGGCAAUGAUGCGUAGCCGAAUUGAGAGGUUGAUCGGCCACAUUGGGACUGAGACACGGCCCAAACUCCUACGGGAGGCAGCAGUAGGGAAUCUUCCACAAUGGGCGAAAGCCUGAUGGAGCAACGCCGCGUGGGUGAAGAAGGUCUUCGGAUCGUAAAACCCUGUUGUUAGAGAAGAAAGUGCGUGAGAGUAACUGUUCACGUUUCGACGGUAUCUAACCAGAAAGCCACGGCUAACUACGUG